This is a long non-coding RNA of Halichondria panicea, 589 nucleotides long. RefSeq lists it as uncharacterized. Lineage: Eukaryota; Metazoa; Porifera; Demospongiae; Suberitida; Halichondriidae. The transcript has 2 exons. The record is from RefSeq and is a predicted model, not a curated record.
UAUUCAGUAUUAACCCUUUCCCGGCUUUAGCCGUCAUAUGACGGCAGCGGUAGUGAUAAUUUUCAAAAAAUCGUUGUGGGCGCUGUGUUGGAGCUAUGCGCACACUGUAGGUACCAGCACAUGCGCAUUGGGCUGCUCUUUCACAUGGUAUCUUUAAUAUCUUGCCUCGAGGUACACUUUGUGCAGUACUGUCGAAAGAAAAGUGACCUUUUGAUAAUGGCUACAAGAUCUUUGUAGUACAACCUCAGCGAGGUUCUAGGGCAGCUAGACAGUGAGAAUAAUGAUGCUUAUGGCCUUGUUGAGUAAGAGGACAGUGACUGGGAUCAUACCAAGAGAGGAAACUACUUUUCAGAGAUCAAGCUAUAAACAUAGAGCCUGAAGAGCCGGAGGAAGAAGCUCCUGAGCAUGAACCAAAGUCCUGGACCUUGUGAAGAAAACAUUUCCCGGGAAAAGAGCGUCUGCCGAUACGACCUCGCAGAGAAGUUUCUGCUGAUCCUGAUUGAACCAUGUCACCGUGAGAACAUUGAGAACACUUACUUAGUGUUUUUAGUUACUUCAUGCCUUCAUACAAUAUUCUUUAUGUUCAUAA